GGGGGCUACUCGUUAAAACUUACAAUAAAACAAAUUAAAAUAACCAAAUGAAAAACACUACCUACUCAAAAUAAUUUUAAAUUAAUUAAAAAGUAAAUUGUCUAAAUUAUGCAAUUUUAAGAACCCGCAGUAGAGCCCUGACAGGUAAAAAAUUUAUUUUAGAAACCUGACUGGUAGAGCCCAGACAGGUAUAAAUUUGAAAGAUGAGAAUACCUGCGGUUGAUCCCAACAGGUACUUUUAGAACCUGAGUGGUAGAGCCCAGAC
RNAcentral lists this long non-coding RNA (265 nucleotides) under Mytilus galloprovincialis (Mediterranean mussel). The record is from RNAcentral. Lineage: Eukaryota; Metazoa; Mollusca; Bivalvia; Mytilida; Mytilidae.